CAGUCGCCGCGGGAAUACGAAGGGGGCUAGCGUUGCUCGGAAUGACUGGGCGUAAAGGGCGCGUAGGCGGUUCGUACAGUUGGAUGUGAAAUUCCUGGGCUUAACCUGGGGGCUGCAUUCAAUACGUGCGGGCUUGAGUGUGGAAGAGGGUUGUGGAAUUCCCAGUGUAGAGGUGAAAUUCGUAGAUAUUGGGAAGAACACCGGUGGCGAAGGCGGCAACCUGGUCCAUAACUGACGCUGAGGCGCGAAAGCGUGGGGAGCAAACAGGAUUAGAUACCCCAGUAGUCCCUGUCUCUUAUAC
This 301-nucleotide ribosomal RNA is filed under the name uncultured bacterium. RNAcentral's name for it is "partial 16S ribosomal RNA". It matches the Rfam family "Bacterial small subunit ribosomal RNA", at positions 509 to 807 of the family's 1533-position model. The record is from RNAcentral.